RNAcentral lists this transfer RNA (67 nucleotides) under Marmota monax (woodchuck). RNAcentral describes it as "tRNA.Ala". It matches the Rfam family "tRNA". From Rfam's summary of the family: Transfer RNA (tRNA) molecules are approximately 80 nucleotides in length. Their secondary structure includes four short double-helical elements and three loops (D, anti-codon, and T loops). Lineage: Eukaryota; Metazoa; Chordata; Mammalia; Rodentia; Sciuridae. The record is from RNAcentral.
GGGGAUGUGGCUCAGUGGUAGGGUGCUUGCCUGGCAAGCAAGGACCUAAGCUCAAUCCCCAUUACCA